RNAcentral lists this ribosomal RNA (253 nucleotides) under uncultured bacterium. RNAcentral's name for it is "partial 16S ribosomal RNA". It matches the Rfam family "Bacterial small subunit ribosomal RNA", at positions 524 to 776 of the family's 1533-position model. The record is from RNAcentral.
UACGUAGGGGGCUAGCGUUGUCCGGAAUCAUUGGGCGUAAAGCGCGUGUAGGCGGUCCGGUAAGUCCGCUGUGAAAGUCGAGGGCUCAACCCUCGAAUGCCGGUGGAUACUGUCGGGCUAGAGUGCGGAAGAGGCGAGCGGAAUUCCUGGUGUAGCGGUGAAAUGCGCAGAUAUCAGGAGGAACACCUAUUGCGAAGGCAGCUCGCUGGGACGUUACUGACGCUGAGACGCGAAAGCGUGGGGAGCAAACAGG